AUCGCUACUUGAAGAAAGAGAUUGCUUCAAACGUUGACAAUGAACAAUUGAACACCUCAUAAUCCCCUUUCAAACCCUAAUUCCCAAUUCUUCCCAAUCCUUCAAAUUCUCUCAAAUCCAAAAUCCCUAAUCUAAUCUAUGGCCUCCAGUUCCACCGUUUCUCCACCAACAAAUCACACCAGAUACGACGUUUUCAUAAGCUUUAACGAAGACACUCGCUUCUCCUUCACCGAUCACCUCUACGAGGCCUUAAUCGGUGCAGGAAUCAGAACUUACAGAGACAAUUCACUCAACGAUUCAACCGUUAGAACCUCGGAACUCGAGAGAGCAAUCACGGUAUCUAGGGCUUCGAUAGUCGUCUUGUCGAAAAGUUAUCUAGUUGAUAGUUCCUCUCUUGAUGAGCUGCGGUUGAUUAUGGAGCGGAGAAAGGGGUUUUAUCAUGUGGUUGUGCCGGUUUUUUAUCAUGUUGAUCCGGUUGAGCUUAGGAGAGAGGAGAGUGUUUGUGAGUUGGAAGUGUUUCGCAAGGCGGAGUGGGCGGAUAAGGUGGAGCAGUGGAAGGUUGCGCUUAUGGAAGUUGCGCAUUUGAGUGAUAAGGCGGUUUCGGGGCCUGAAACGAAGUUUAUUGCGGAUAUUGUUAAUACCAUUGGCAAUAAGCUAGGUCUCAAGUUAGUAUCUAGUCCACCACAUCUAACUGGAAUGGACACUCGAGCCGAAGAUAUUAAUCUAUGGAUGAAAGAUAAGCAAGAUGCUCAAGUUCUUGCAAUUUGUGGACCGGCAGGAAGCGGAAAGACAACACUAGCCAAAUAUAUUUAUGAUACCAACUUGCUAAAGUUUGAAAGCAGUAGUUUUCUUGAAGACAUUGGAAAGAUUUGUGAACAAACAUGUGGUUUAUGUGCAUUACAAGAACAACUUCUUUCAGACAUUUUAGAGGACAAGAGAAAAGAACUUGAUGUUAAUUCAUAUAAAAGUCAGAUCGAAAACGCCUUACGUAAGAAACGGGUGCUUAUUGUUCUUGAUGACGUCGAUAAAGAAGAACAAGUAGAAGCUUUACUUGGAAUGGAAGAGAUUAAUACAGAAAGCAAAAUUAUUAUAACAAGUAGGCUUCCAGAUAUACAAACAUUGUUUAGAUCUAGAUCUCGCAGGUGUAAAGAGCACAAACUUAAGUUACUAAAUGAACAUGAGUCAUUAGCGCUUUUAAGUUGGUAUGCUUUUGGUUCUAAAAUUCCCAUGGAAGGUUUUAAGGAGCUUGCGUUAAAAGCCGCACAUUACUGCGCGGGAAAUCCGCUGGCUCUUAAAUUGUUGGGUUCUUUAUUUGUUAACGCUAAAGACUCACGGAAACGAACGAACAUAGAAUAUUGGAUGAGCACAUUGAAUUUAUUAGAAAGAGAGCCUAAUUACAGGAUAGAAGGUAUUCUCCGCAUGAGCUUCGAGUAUUUGCCGUUUAUCACUUACCGAGAGUUGUUCUUGCAUAUUGCUUGUUUCUUUAUCGGAGAAGAUGAAGAUUAUGUGGUGAAGAUAUUGGAGCCUGAUUAUUGUGCAACAGCCGGGAUUGUAACGUUAAUUAAUAGAUGCCUUCUUACGGUUUCACCGAGCAAAAAACUGAUGAUGCAUGGAUUGUUUAUCGAGAUGGCAAGAAGGAUGGUGCUUGACGAAUCGCCCACGAACCCUGCAAAACGCAGUAGAGUUUGGUGUAACGAGGACUCUUACACUCUGUUGAGACAAGGAAUGGGUUCAGAAACCAUAGAAGGCCUAGCGCUUGACAUGCGAAUGGUGAGGGAAGAGAAGCAUAAUACGCAGCCAAUGGCCUUCGAUGCUGAUUCACUCGCAAAGAUGGAUAAUCUAAAGUUGCUCCAGCUCAACUAUGUGGAAUUAUCGGGAUCCUACGACGAUUUCCCAGAAGAUUUGAGAUGGCUUUGUUGGCACGGGUUUCCGUUAAGAACCCUACCUUCUGAAUUAUUCAUGGGGAACUUGGUCGCUAUAGACAUGAGUUAUAGCAAACUCGAAGUAUUUGAACCACCCACGGUAAUUAGACCACUAAAGAUACUAAACUUUAAAGACUCACAAAGCCUAGUAGAAAUCCACACUAUUUCCCGGCUUCCCAAUCUCGAGACGUUGAUUCUUUGGAACUGUUACAGUUUGGUUCGUGUUUCCGAGCCCAUCGGAGAUCUCAAGAGUCUUUCUCUAUUAAACAUGACCGGAUGCGAAAACCUGUUUAAAGCCUCAAAUUUCAGUCAACAACAGUCUUUGACUUCCCCCAUUCCACACUCAUUACAACGUCUUUUACUAAAAAGUUGCAGUCUCGAGCUCAACGAUCAUUUUUUAAGCUUUGAACAUCAUUCAUUUUUGCAGUACCUGAAUUUAAGCGGUAAUUUGUUCGACCGCUUGCCUGAAUACAAUCAUCUUACGAAUCUUCGGGUACUUGACUUGAGUUUUUGCUCCAGACUUGAGUGCAUUACAUGUCUUCCAAAUACGCUAGAAGAGUUGUUUGUUACGUGUUGUAAGUCAUUAGAGAAAAUUACGUUCCAAUCACCACGAUUCGGGUUGCGGGAAAUCGAUUAUCAAGGUUGUACUAAUUUAUUGGAAAUUGAGGGUCUUUUAAAACUCGUGCCGAUAUCAAAAACUGAUGAACGGUUUUUGGGGCAUAUGAAGUGGCUGAAAGAAUAUCAGAGUCAUGAAGUAUGCCUGAUUGGUGAUUAUCAUCUCACAGUAGACAGAAGUCGACAUAUCCAGAUGCUAUACGAAUUCGGUAUAAUGAGCACGUUUCUGCCAGACAUAAAGGACCCGAAUAUGACGUGUGAGUACACCUCAAAAUCUUCAUCAUUAUCCUUUAACGUGCCUUCACAUUAUAAUAACCAUAAGCUCAAAGGAUUAAACGUCAUUUUCAAAUACAUACUAUUCGGCGAGGAGAAAUAUGUAUGGCCAAUAUUUGCGAAAAUCAUUAACACAACCAAAUGUUGUGAAUGGAUUUACAACCCUAUGGUCUUCGGGAGCCCUAAAUUUGGUGACGUUGCUAUAUGGUUAAGUUAUUGGGCGAUGGAAAACUUAUUAGACGUCGGUGAUCAAGUUAACGUGUCUAUUAUUGUCGAGAAUGGAUUAGAGGUAAUCGAGUGUGGUGCAAGCCUUGUGUAUGAUGAUGAUGGUGAUGAUGAUGAGAUGGAGAAUGACACGUGGCAAAAUAACGUUAAAUGGGAUGAAAUACUUGUAGGGAAUUUGUCGGCAUUUCAGUUAAGCAAAGAAACGUAUUAUCUAUGUCGCCGCGAUUUCUUUAAGUCGAUGGAGGUUGAUGGACCGACGCCUAGGUGGUUCAGGGAUUCGGUUGGUUAUAAGUUUGAUUAUACAGAGAUACAGGGAUGGAGAAAAACCGGUCGGGAUCCCAAGUUGCGAUCGUAGUUUUUUAACGGAAGGAUUCGCCCGCCCGAGAGCAUCUUCGAAUCAAUGGCUAUGUAAGAGGUAACUAGGUGGACUUGGUCAAGUUGGAAUAUUACCGAAUAUGCUUUGGAAUAAACAUGUGCAAAUAAGGAAGUAACUGUUGUGGGUGAUCAUGGGAGCUCCCCGAAAUCUCGUUUAGUUAGUUAUUUGUUAUUUCUAAUUAUAAUUAGAGGAUAAUGAAGCUCAAAUAUGCAGAACAUACACAACACUCACUCUCUCUCUCAAUACUCAACCUACUCUCAACACUAACACUAUAUUCUAUUUUAUCGAGCUCAUUAUCUUCCAAAGUUGUAUUGAAUUACUCGUUACUUGCUCAAUACAGUUGGUGAUCGGUAGUUUCCAUCACCCGAUUUGUGCCGGAGAUCUCAUCAAGAUCAAGGGUUUUUUCCUCGUAUAA
This is an RNA transcript of Helianthus annuus (common sunflower), 3826 nucleotides long. It is a transcript of the gene named disease resistance protein RUN1, with no coding region annotated. The record is from RefSeq and is a predicted model, not a curated record. The transcript is spliced from 7 exons. Lineage: Eukaryota; Viridiplantae; Streptophyta; Magnoliopsida; Asterales; Asteraceae.